AGAAAGUUAGUCUAAUCAAGACAGCUGGUUUCGGCCCAGCAGAUUAUAGAUAACCCUGUAACUUUCUU
This 68-nucleotide transfer RNA is filed under the name Anseranas semipalmata (magpie goose). RNAcentral describes it as "tRNA-Arg". Lineage: Eukaryota; Metazoa; Chordata; Aves; Anseriformes; Anseranatidae. The record is from RNAcentral.